UAGUUUUGUCCUAAGUCAAACUUCUCCAACUUUGACUAAGUUUAUAAAAAAAUCGAUUAAUAUCUACAAUACCAAACGUAUGCACUAAAAAGACAUUUCAUUGUUGAUUUAACUAUGUUGUAGAUGUUGGUGCAUUUGUCUAUAAACUUGGUCAAAUUUAGAGAAGUUUGACUUGGGACAAAUUAAA
RNAcentral lists this microRNA precursor (187 nucleotides) under Setaria italica (foxtail millet). RNAcentral describes it as "MIR1435 microRNA precursor family". It matches the Rfam family "MIR1435 microRNA precursor family". Lineage: Eukaryota; Viridiplantae; Streptophyta; Magnoliopsida; Poales; Poaceae. The record is from Rfam by way of RNAcentral.